GGCAAUCUGGCCGAGUGGUCUAAGGCGCCAGGUUCAGGUGUAUCCUGGUCUCUCCGGAGGCGAGAGUUCGAAUCUCUCGGUUGUCA
Molecule: transfer RNA, 86 nt
Filed under: Yarrowia sp. B02
Lineage: Eukaryota; Fungi; Ascomycota; Dipodascomycetes; Dipodascales
Description: tRNA-Leu
Rfam family: tRNA
About the family: Transfer RNA (tRNA) molecules are approximately 80 nucleotides in length. Their secondary structure includes four short double-helical elements and three loops (D, anti-codon, and T loops).
Source: RNAcentral